CUUGUCUGUCAAAAAUCAAUUCACAUUGUAAAAGGAAGCAGCCUGUGAAGCAGAGGCUGAAGAAAAAAGCUUCAGCAGUUGGAAGCAGGAGGAAUGGGUGGUCGGUUGAAAGAAGAGCCACAACAAUGCAUCCAAAGAUGAAGCAGUUGUUAUAGUUAAGAAACUCCUCGCCGUUGAGUACUAGCCUGUUCUGCUUCUCAGCAAGGAGACUAAGAACAAAGAACACAAAUGUGAAAUAUUGACCCCUCGGUGCACACUUUCCACUUAUGCCCAAGACUACCUUCAGAAGAUUGGCUCAUUUUCUCAACACUUUUGUGAAGGAGCAGGUGGAGGAGG
Molecule: non-coding RNA, 336 nt
Organism: Danio rerio (zebrafish)
Lineage: Eukaryota; Metazoa; Chordata; Actinopteri; Cypriniformes; Danionidae
Source: RefSeq, a predicted model, not a curated record